Molecule: non-coding RNA, 135 nt
Organism: Callithrix jacchus (white-tufted-ear marmoset)
Lineage: Eukaryota; Metazoa; Chordata; Mammalia; Primates; Cebidae
Source: Rfam
GACCUUGAGAAUUAUCGUAGCCAAUGAGGUUUAUCCGAGGCGCGAUUAUUGCUAAUUGAAAACUUUUCCCAAUACCCCGCCAUGGCGACUUGAAAUAUAGUCAGCGUAGGCAAUUUUUGGUAGUCUCUAUGGAGA